RNAcentral lists this ribozyme (113 nucleotides) under Aedes aegypti (yellow fever mosquito). RNAcentral describes it as "drz-agam-1 ribozyme". It matches the Rfam family "drz-agam-1 ribozyme". Lineage: Eukaryota; Metazoa; Arthropoda; Insecta; Diptera; Culicidae. The record is from Rfam by way of RNAcentral.
UGCCCAGCAACUCCUAUCCCUACCUCCUCGUGGCACUAGCCGGGGUACGAGUAACCUUAGGGAAGACCGGGUAACCAACCCUUGGAACUUUGGUCGUAUGCUGACAGGGAAGG